GACCAGACCAAGCAGGAACAGCCAAAUAAGGACUUGUUUUUCUCAAGGACUUGUUUUUCUCAAUGAGCGGAUGGCGAAACCAGCACCAUCCCCAGGGCGCGAGACCUUGCAGCUUUCUACAAUAAGCCUUGCUCCGUGGGACAAUGGGGAAAAAAAUGAAUGAGACAAAGCCAGAAAAUAUUUACAGGAAAGGGAACCAGGGAAGAAGAAAGAAUUUAAGAAAAGCAAGAAGUAAGGAGUAUAUAACGCUGUUUUUGUUGCUGGGGUUCAUGAAUGGCUCCGUAAUGGCAUGAACCACACUCGUCCUUUCAUUCAUGUGCUGACAUUCUGAUGCCAGGCGCACUCACAGACACGAGGACAGCAUUCUCACGGAGUUCGAGAGCAAAGGACAAACGAUACUGUCACUGUUCGCUUCGGGAGUGCACAUUAACUGCAGGAGGCAAAAAGAUAGAUAAGAAAUGAAGUUCAGAGAAGAGGACCAGUUUAAGGCCAUGGACCAUACAAUUAGUCCACUUCUUAAAACUUUUUCGAUAUGGGGUGCGCCCAUUCUCCCAUGAUGCCUCUGACCUCUCUGACAUGCUUACCUGCUCAGAUCAAGAGAUUUUCUUAACAGUAUCACAGGACCAAAUCUCCAAAACAGCUCUUCCAAGAAAAACAAAAUUUGGGAGUGUGGGACUCACUGGGAAGAUAUCCAUGCUUCUGUAAAUGGCACCCAUGCAUUCUUCUGUAAGUAAUUCUACCUAACGUCACUGGAUGACACACCAAAUGACAUGACAGUAGACUGGAAAUUGGCAGAGAAGAGGAAAGAGAUCAUCAAGAACAAAAGGAGUCAGGAGAAUGACAGUCAAAAUAGUACAACUAUUAUUGUCUUGUAUAAAAAUAUAAAAAUAAAACUCAUUGUCAUGCAUGAUUAACAUAUGUUAAUAAAAAUAAAAUAAAA
This is a non-coding RNA of Rattus norvegicus (Norway rat), 940 nucleotides long. NCBI's taxonomy places the organism in Eukaryota, Metazoa, Chordata, Mammalia, Rodentia, Muridae. The record is from RefSeq and is a predicted model, not a curated record.